AGAUGGUUGCUCGAGUGGCUGAAGAGGUUAGUCUCGAAAACUAAUAAUGAGUUUUUCAUUCAAGGGUUCAAAUCCCUUACCAUCUG
Molecule: transfer RNA, 86 nt
Filed under: Metamycoplasma arthritidis 158L3-1
Lineage: Bacteria; Bacillati; Mycoplasmatota; Mycoplasmoidales; Metamycoplasmataceae
Description: Mycoplasma arthritidis 158L3-1 tRNA
Rfam family: tRNA
About the family: Transfer RNA (tRNA) molecules are approximately 80 nucleotides in length. Their secondary structure includes four short double-helical elements and three loops (D, anti-codon, and T loops).
Source: Rfam by way of RNAcentral